CAGAGUCGAAGAGGAGCAGAAGAUGAAGUUGGAGAUAUGGUCCUUCUAUAUGAUACAGCUCCUUAAAGACCUUGACAGCAAGCAAGUCCAGGAAAGAGGACACCCAGGGUGCACCAGGCACCAUGCCAGGCACUGUACGCAGGAGGCCCAAGAACCUCAGGAGACUCUCAUCAGCCUGUCCAUCGCUGCUGUCGGGCCACAGAGGUUU
This is a long non-coding RNA of Equus quagga, 208 nucleotides long. RefSeq lists it as uncharacterized. The record is from RefSeq and is a predicted model, not a curated record. The transcript has 3 exons. NCBI's taxonomy places the organism in Eukaryota, Metazoa, Chordata, Mammalia, Perissodactyla, Equidae.